GAUGAAGAACGCAGCGAAAUGCGAUAAGUAAUGUGAAUUGCAGAAUUCAGUGAAUCAUCGAAUCUUUGAACGCACAUUGCGCCCCUUGGUAUUCCGAGGGGCAUGCCUGUUCGAGCGUCACUAUAACCCCUCAAGCUCAGCUUGGUGUUGGGGCCUGCUGCACUGGCAGCCCUUAAAAUCAGUGGCGGCGCCAUCUGGCUCUAAGCGUAGUAAUUCUUCUCGCUAUGGAGUCCUGGUGGAUGCUUGCCAUCAACCCCCAAUUUUUCUAUGGUUGACCUCGGAUCAGGUAGGGAUACCCGCUGAACUUAAGCAUAUCAAUAAGCGGAGGA
RNAcentral lists this unclassified non-coding RNA (329 nucleotides) under soil metagenome. RNAcentral describes it as "partial contains 5.8S ribosomal RNA, internal transcribed spacer 2, and large subunit ribosomal RNA". The stretch from base 1 to 120 matches the Rfam family "5.8S ribosomal RNA", at positions 35 to 154 of the family's 154-position model. The record is from RNAcentral.